RNAcentral lists this ribosomal RNA (580 nucleotides) under Nemopsis bachei. RNAcentral describes it as "partial large subunit ribosomal RNA". It matches the Rfam family "Bacterial large subunit ribosomal RNA", at positions 1876 to 2616 of the family's 2925-position model. The record is from RNAcentral. Lineage: Eukaryota; Metazoa; Cnidaria; Hydrozoa; Anthoathecata; Bougainvilliidae.
GCCUUCAAUUUAAGAAAAAUAAAACUUUUCUAAAAAAGCUUAAAGGACGCAGUAUCUUGACUGUGGUAAUGUAGCAUAAUCACUCGCCACUUAAUUGGUGGAUAGUAUGAAUGGUUAAACGAAUAUUACACUGUCUCUAAAAGAAAUCCCAUGAAAUUAAAAUAAUAGUAAAGAUGCUAUUUAAAGCUGUAAGACGAAAAGACCCUAUAGAGCUUAACUACAUUAUGUGUUUUAAAAAAUUAAAUAUAAACUUAAAAAAACACACAUCUUGGUAGUUUAGUUGGGGCGACUGUCUUUUAAAAUAAACAAAGACAAGCAAUGUUAAUAAUAAACUUAUUGUAUAAUAUAUAAAUUUAACAAUUAUAAAAAUAGGCUAUAAUGACCCAUUAGAUUUUAAUAACAAAACUAAUGAUUAAUAAAUAAAAGCUACCUUAGGGAUAACAGGAUAAUUUUGUUUUAGAGAUCUAAUCGAAGACAAAGUUUGUCACCUCUAUGUUGAAUUAAGAUAUCCUGAUAGUGCAGAAGCUAUCAAAGGUAGGUCUGUUCGACCUAUAAAAUCUUACAUGAUUUGAGUUCAUUC